AUACGGAGGGUCCAAGCGUUAUCCGGAUUCAUUGGGUUUAAAGGGUCCGCAGGCGGGAAAAUAAGUCAGUGGUGAAAGCCUACAGCUCAACUGUAGAACUGCCAUUGAAACUGUUUUUCUUGAGUAUAGAUGAAGUGGGCGGAAUAUAUCAUGUGGCGGUGAAAUGCAUAGAUAUGAUAUAGAACACCGAUUGCGAAGGCAGCUCACUAAACUAUUACUGACGCUCAGGGACGAAAGCGUGGGGAGCGAACAGGAUUAGAAACCCUAGUAGUCC
This 274-nucleotide ribosomal RNA is filed under the name uncultured bacterium. RNAcentral's name for it is "partial 16S ribosomal RNA". It matches the Rfam family "Bacterial small subunit ribosomal RNA", at positions 523 to 796 of the family's 1533-position model. The record is from RNAcentral.